RNAcentral lists this ribosomal RNA (253 nucleotides) under uncultured bacterium. RNAcentral's name for it is "partial 16S ribosomal RNA". It matches the Rfam family "Bacterial small subunit ribosomal RNA", at positions 524 to 776 of the family's 1533-position model. The record is from RNAcentral.
UACGUAGGUGGCAAGCGUUAUCCGGAUUUAUUGGGCGUAAAGGGAACGCAGGCGGUCUUUUAAGUCUGAUGUGAAAGCCUUCGGCUUAACCGGAGUAGUGCAUUGGAAACUGGGAGACUUGAGUGCAGAAGAGGAGAGUGGAACUCCAUGUGUAGCGGUGAAAUGCGUAGAUAUAUGGAAGAACACCAGUGGCGAAAGCGGCUCUCUGGUCUGUAACUGACGCUGAGGUUCGGAAGCGUGGGUAGCAAACAGG